AUUUUGACCGUGCGAAGGUAGCGCAAUCACUUGUCUUUUAAAUGGAGACCUGUAUGAAUGGCAUGACGAGGGCUUAGCUGUCUCCUUUUUCGAGUCAAUGAAAUUGAUCUCCCCGUGCAGAAGCGGGGAUUUACACAUAAGACGAGAAGACCCUAUGGAGCUUUAGACACCAAAGCAGAUCAUGUCAAACACCCCUAAACAAAGGGCCAAACUAAAUGAACCCUGCCCUAAUGUCUUUGGUUGGGGCGACCGCGGGGAAACACAAAACCCCCACGUGGAAUGAGAGCACUUCCUCUUACAGCCGAGAGUUCCCACUCUAGCAAACAGAAAUUCUGACCAUUAAGAUCCGGCAAAGCCGAUCAACGGACCGAGUUACCCUAGGGAUAACAGCGCAAUCCCCUUUUAGAGCCCAUAUCGACAAGGGGGUUUACGACCUCGAUGUUGGAUCAGGACAUCCUAAUGGUGCAGCCGCUAUUAAGGGUUCGUUUGUUCAACG
This 496-nucleotide ribosomal RNA is filed under the name Etelis oculatus (queen snapper). RNAcentral's name for it is "partial large subunit ribosomal RNA". It matches the Rfam family "Bacterial large subunit ribosomal RNA", at positions 1939 to 2586 of the family's 2925-position model. The record is from RNAcentral. Lineage: Eukaryota; Metazoa; Chordata; Actinopteri; Lutjaniformes; Lutjanidae.